UGCAUUCACUACUGUAAAUCCCUCUGGAUAAGAGUGUCUGCUAAAUGACUAAAG
This is a non-coding RNA of Salmo salar (Atlantic salmon), 54 nucleotides long. The record is from Rfam. NCBI's taxonomy places the organism in Eukaryota, Metazoa, Chordata, Actinopteri, Salmoniformes, Salmonidae.